RNAcentral lists this ribosomal RNA (255 nucleotides) under uncultured bacterium. RNAcentral describes it as "partial 16S ribosomal RNA". It matches the Rfam family "Bacterial small subunit ribosomal RNA", at positions 524 to 776 of the family's 1533-position model. The record is from RNAcentral.
UACGAAGGGGGCUAGCGUUGCUCGGAAUCACUGGGCGUAAAGCGCACGUAGGCGGAUUGUUAAGUCAGGGGUGAAAUCCUGGAGCUCAACUCCAGAACUGCCUUUGAUACUGGCGAUCUUCGAGUCCGGGAGAGGUGAGUGGAACUGCGAGUGUAGAGGUGAAAUUCGUAGAUAUUCGCAAGAACACCAGUGGCGAAGGCGGCUCACUGGCCCGGACUACGACGCUGAGGUGCGAAAGCGUGGGGAGCAAACAGG